This 418-nucleotide long non-coding RNA is filed under the name Amborella trichopoda. Its description in RNAcentral is "long non-coding RNA (ATRI_LNC002764)". The record is from RNAcentral. Lineage: Eukaryota; Viridiplantae; Streptophyta; Magnoliopsida; Amborellales; Amborellaceae.
CAGAAAAAAAUAAUGAAUAAAUACUAUUCAAUGCAAUGUGAAUAUAGUUAGAAGCCUCCCCCUUGGGCCGCUAGCUGUAGGUUGUUUUGGGUUCAUUGCCCUUCUCUUUUCCUUUGCAUUUGCCCUUCCCCUCGGCAGAGACACUUAGUUCGUAGUCCACCUGGCAGGUCAACUGGGUUCAUGGUAGAAAACAAAAUAUAAAAUGACUGUACAUUAUGCAUUUAUAUUCUUAACAACACUAGCUGGGGAAAUUUUAUUGAAGAGCUGUAAUAUGGAACUUAGUUGUUGUCCUUGGAACGAUAUUAUAGUUCUAAAACAUAUUGUCCUUGAUCCCUAUAACGGAUUUUCAUCCAUGUGUGGUCAUGAAAUUGCCUGAAUCUUGGCUAGGUUUUCAAGCAAUAGAAAUAUUUAUCUGGUG